This 36-nucleotide non-coding RNA is filed under the name Fukomys damarensis (Damara mole-rat). RNAcentral describes it as "XIST RNA A repeat". It matches the Rfam family "XIST RNA A repeat". Lineage: Eukaryota; Metazoa; Chordata; Mammalia; Rodentia; Bathyergidae. The record is from Rfam by way of RNAcentral.
UGGCCCAUCGGGGCAAUGGAUACCUGAUUUUUUUUU